RNAcentral lists this long non-coding RNA (400 nucleotides) under Mytilus galloprovincialis (Mediterranean mussel). Lineage: Eukaryota; Metazoa; Mollusca; Bivalvia; Mytilida; Mytilidae. The record is from RNAcentral.
GCGUGGUAUUUCAACGGACACAUAUAUGGCACUGACAAUAACGGAGAUCGGCAUCGUUUUGACAUUUACGACAACAUAAGGCAGAAACUAAAAUCAUAGAAUAGAUGCGUAACUGUCCAUUUAAUAUUUGAUGUUCAUUCUUUUCAAGCUAUUUAAUGUUGUUCUCGUUUAUGGUUGUUUUUCCUAUAGUAUUUCGUUUUUUUUUCCUUUUCACAAGAGUUGUAAGUGUGAAUAUUUGUAUUGUAGUCAGAAUUACCUGAAUUUAAUUUUGUUUUUUUACGGAAUAUAAAAAGUCAUUUCCGUGUUUGUGUAUACUUUUACUAUCCGUUUCAAAACUUCCGAUGUACAAUUUUUAUAAAAAACACACAUUGAAAAUACACUUUUUAAAGAUUAUUGGUAA